ACAUCCUAAGCUAACCUUACCCCGCGAAGUAAGUUACGCACAUCCUCUGCAGUCGUUACUUUUUAAGGACGUCAAUUUCAGAAAUUACUAUGUGACAGCAAUGAAUUCGUCAGCCAAUCGCAAGCCUAUGGAAACGAUGAAAUUCUGAAGUACCCAAGUACUUCAUUUGUGAAGAUUUAGAGAGAUAUUCGAAAGGAACAAGUUACGGACGGCUACUGCACAGAUGGGAGAUGUGAGAAGUUGGUGUCUGAGAUUGAACUCGGACAAAGUUACUGAACGAAGGAAAGCUUGUGACCAGUUAAAGCACCUUCUCAAAGAUGAACAAGUUGUGGCGACUCUAGAUUGCAAGCCCUCGGACUCUUUCAACUGGGACCAAGUCUUCAUUUAUGCCAAAACUUACUUCCACAAGGUAAAAACUUUUUUUUAUUUUUCUAGAAAAUAU
This is a long non-coding RNA of Macrobrachium nipponense, 442 nucleotides long. RefSeq lists it as uncharacterized. Lineage: Eukaryota; Metazoa; Arthropoda; Malacostraca; Decapoda; Palaemonidae. The transcript is spliced from 3 exons. The record is from RefSeq and is a predicted model, not a curated record.